RNAcentral lists this ribosomal RNA (497 nucleotides) under uncultured bacterium. RNAcentral's name for it is "partial 16S ribosomal RNA". It matches the Rfam family "Bacterial small subunit ribosomal RNA", at positions 28 to 507 of the family's 1533-position model. The record is from RNAcentral.
GAUGAACGCUGGCGGUGUGCCUAAUACAUGCAAGUCGAGCGAACAGACGAGGAGCUUGCUCCUCUGACGUUAGCGGCGGACGGGUGAGUAACACGUGGAUAACCUACCUAUAAGACUGGGAUAACUUCGGGAAACCGGAGCUAAUACCGGAUAAUAUAUUGAACCGCAUGGUUCAAUAGUGAAAGACGGUUUUGCUGUCACUUAUAGAUGGAUCCGCGCCGCAUUAGCUAGUUGGUAAGGUAACGGCUUACCAAGGCAACGAUGCGUAGCCGACCUGAGAGGGUGAUCAGCCACACUGGAACUGAGACACGGUCCAGACUCCUACGGGAGGCAGCAGUAGGGAAUCUUCCGCAAUGGGCGAAAGCCUGACGGAGCAACGCCGCGUGAGUGAUGAAGGUCUUCGGAUCGUAAAACUCUGUUAUUAGGGAAGAACAAAUGUGUAAGUAACUAUGCACGUCUUGACGGUACCUAAUCAGAAAGCCACGGCUAACUACGUG